CUACGGAGGGUCCAAGCGUUAUCCGGAAUCAUUGGGUUUAAAGGGUCCGCAGGCGGUCAAUUAAGUCAGAGGUGAAAGCCCAUCGCUCAACGAUGGAACUGCCUUUGAUACUGGUUGACUUGAGUUAUACGGAAGUAGAUAGAAUAAGUAGUGUAGCGGUGAAAUGCAUAGAUAUUACUUAGAAUACCGAUUGCGAAGGCAGUCUACUACGUAUAUUCUGACGCUGAGGGACGAAAGCGUGGGGAGCGAACAGGAUUAGAAACCCUAGUAGUCC
This 274-nucleotide ribosomal RNA is filed under the name uncultured bacterium. Its description in RNAcentral is "partial 16S ribosomal RNA". It matches the Rfam family "Bacterial small subunit ribosomal RNA", at positions 523 to 796 of the family's 1533-position model. The record is from RNAcentral.